AAUUGUAAGAGGGCUUUUUCUCUCACAUAGGUAACAGAUGCAAGACUCUGAUGAGCUCUGAGAGCGGGAUAUCUGUGCCCUAGAUUUUUGUUUCCUACUUAAAAGUCAACUGACCGGGAACCUGAAUUAUCCCUGAGCUAACAUCUGCUGCCAUUCCUCCUCUUUUUGCUGAGGAAGACUGGUCCUGCGCUAACAUCCAUGCCCAUCAUCCUCUGCUUUAUAUGUUGGAUGCCUGCCACAGCAUGGCUUGAUAUGUGGUGCAUAUGUCACCCCAUGGGAUCCGAACCAGUGAACCAGGGCCAUCAAAGUGGAGAGCUCAAACUUGACCUCUAUACCACAGAGCCAGCCUCAAGUUUAAUAUGUUGCUGUCCUAAAGUCAGCUGCUUCACAGGCUGGCCUAAACACGCUGAGAAAUUGUGAAACCGGCUCUCCUAGAACCAGACUAUCCCUGUCUGGGUUAUAAAGGAAAAUGCUAGGAUUUUAUUGAGUGGUUCAGGCCAGUGAUGAGGACAACUUUGGAGAGAAUUUGAGAAGGCUUUAGUACACGGCUGCAUUCUGUGCUUUCACCAUAUGAAAGGAGACGGGACUACUACAGCCUUUCUCAAGCUAAGUGAUGGGGUCUUCAAUAAGCUUCUAAGAUUACUUGACAUACUUAUGGUGCAGUUUAAGGAACGUAGUAGCAUCCAGUGCUUGGAUUAUGCCUAAAGAAGAUGUGUUCAUUGCAGUUGCCCCUACCUGUGGCAUAGCAAAGAGACAGGGGUGUAUUGGGGCCACAGUCGCAGCAGUGUGUAAGUUUCCCACAGGACACAUAUUGGCUCCAUGAGAACUACUUCUGCAAUUCCGACAUGACAUUUGAAAAGGUUUGGGUUGCUGGAAACCCCAAAGUCAGGGGAUAGUUUUAAGUUGCCAGUUGGAGAUGGCAUUGCCCAUGGGAAAUAUACUGCAGAUGAAGGAUCCUCAGUAAUAUGAGUUGAGGGACUAUUUAAAGAACCCCGAAAACCACGAUAAGAGAAAAAGAAUCAGCGUUGGAUUCUGCCACAUCCAGAGCAUCAGCAUUAAAUUAAGCAUCUGAUUUGGGGCUUUCCCUGUGGCCAAGUGGUUAAGUUCGUGCACUCCCCUGCAGGCGGCCCAGUGUUUCGUUGGUUCGAAUCCUGGGCGCAGACAUGGCACUGCUCAUCAAACCUCGCUGAGGCAGCGUCCCACAUGCCACAACUAGAAGGUCCCACCACGAAG
Molecule: long non-coding RNA, 1233 nt
Filed under: Equus caballus (horse)
Lineage: Eukaryota; Metazoa; Chordata; Mammalia; Perissodactyla; Equidae
Description: lncRNA (ENSECAG00000051890.1)
Source: RNAcentral